AGAGUUUGAUCAUGGCUCAGAUUGAACGCUGGCGGCAGGCCUAACACAUGCAAGUCGAGCGGUAGCACAGAGAGCUUGCUCUCGGGUGACGAGCGGCGGACGGGUGAGUAAUGUCUGGGAAACUGCCUGAUGGAGGGGGAUAACUACUGGAAACGGUAGCUAAUACCGCAUAACGUCGCAAGACCAAAGUGGGGGACCUUCGGGCCUCAUGCCAUCAGAUGUGCCCAGAUGGGAUUAGCUAGUAGGUGGGGUAAUGGCUCACCUAGGCGACGAUCCCUAGCUGGUCUGAGAGGAUGACCAGCCACACUGGAACUGAGACACGGUCCAGACUCCUACGGGAGGCAGCAGUGGGGAAUAUUGCACAAUGGGCGCAAGCCUGAUGCAGCCAUGCCGCGUGUGUGAAGAAGGCCUUCGGGUUGUAAAGCACUUUCAGCGGGGAGGAAGGCGAUAAGGUUAAUAACCUUGUCGAUUGACGUUACCCGCAGAAGAAGCACCGGCUAACUCCGUGCCAGCAGCCGCGGUAAUACGGAGGGUGCAAGCGUUAAUCGGAAUUACUGGGCGUAAAGCGCACGCAGGCGGUCUGUCAAGUCGGAUGUGAAAUCCCCGGGCUCAACCUGGGAACUGCAUUCGAAACUGGCAGGCUAGAGUCUUGUAGAGGGGGGUAGAAUUCCAGGUGUAGCGGUGAAAUGCGUAGAGAUCUGGAGGAAUACCGGUGGCGAAGGCGGCCCCCUGGACAAAGACUGACGCUCAGGUGCGAAAGCGUGGGGAGCAAACAGGAUUAGAUACCCUGGUAGUCCACGCCGUAAACGAUGUCGAUUUGGAGGUUGUGCCCUUGAGGCGUGGCUUCCGGAGCUAACGCGUUAAAUCGACCGCCUGGGGAGUACGGCCGCAAGGUUAAAACUCAAAUGAAUUGACGGGGGCCCGCACAAGCGGUGGAGCAUGUGGUUUAAUUCGAUGCAACGCGAAGAACCUUACCUGGUCUUGACAUCCACAGAACUUUCCAGAGAUGGAUUGGUGCCUUCGGGAACUGUGAGACAGGUGCUGCAUGGCUGUCGUCAGCUCGUGUUGUGAAAUGUUGGGUUAAGUCCCGCAACGAGCGCAACCCUUAUCCUUUGUUGCCAGCGGUCCGGCCGGGAACUCAAAGGAGACUGCCAGUGAUAAACUGGAGGAAGGUGGGGAUGACGUCAAGUCAUCAUGGCCCUUACGACCAGGGCUACACACGU
RNAcentral lists this ribosomal RNA (1223 nucleotides) under Klebsiella pneumoniae BIDMC 69. RNAcentral's name for it is "bacterial SSU rRNA". It matches the Rfam family "Bacterial small subunit ribosomal RNA", at positions 8 to 1223 of the family's 1533-position model. The record is from RNAcentral. Lineage: Bacteria; Pseudomonadati; Pseudomonadota; Gammaproteobacteria; Enterobacterales; Enterobacteriaceae.